RNAcentral lists this unclassified non-coding RNA (221 nucleotides) under uncultured Actinomycetes bacterium. RNAcentral's name for it is "uncultured actinobacterium contains 16S-23S intergenic spacer region". The record is from RNAcentral. Lineage: Bacteria; Bacillati; Actinomycetota; Actinomycetes.
UCCGGUUUGGCACCGGCAGUCUCCAAUGAGUCCCCGGCAUUACCCGCUGGCAACAUUGGACAGGGGUUGCGCUCGUUGCGCCACUUAAGGCAACACCUCACGGCACGAGCUGACGACAGCCAUGCAGCACCUGUGCAGGCUCCCGAAGGAGCACCGGCUUUCACCGGUUUCACCCUGCAUGUCAAGCCCUGGUAAGGUGGGGAUGACGUGUCCUUGAUAGG